AAAUUGAAGAGUUUGAUCAUGGCUCAGAUUGAACGCUGGCGGCAGGCCUAACACAUGCAAGUCGAACGGUAACAGGAAACAGCUUGCUGUUUCGCUGACGAGUGGCGGACGGGUGAGUAAUGUCUGGGAAACUGCCUGAUGGAGGGGGAUAACUACUGGAAACGGUAGCUAAUACCGCAUAACGUCGCAAGACCAAAGAGGGGGACCUUCGGGCCUCUUGCCAUCGGAUGUGCCCAGAUGGGAUUAGCUAGUAGGUGGGGUAAAGGCUCACCUAGGCGACGAUCCCUAGCUGGUCUGAGAGGAUGACCAGCCACACUGGAACUGAGACACGGUCCAGACUCCUACGGGAGGCAGCAGUGGGGAAUAUUGCACAAUGGGCGCAAGCCUGAUGCAGCCAUGCCGCGUGUAUGAAGAAGGCCUUCGGGUUGUAAAGUACUUUCAGCGGGGAGGAAGGGAGUAAAGUUAAUACCUUUGCUCAUUGACGUUACCCGCAGAAGAAGCACCGGCUAACUCCGUGCCAGCAGCCGCGGUAAUACGGAGGGUGCAAGCGUUAAUCGGAAUUACUGGGCGUAAAGCGCACGCAGGCGGUUUGUUAAGUCAGAUGUGAA
This 608-nucleotide ribosomal RNA is filed under the name Escherichia coli. RNAcentral describes it as "bacterial SSU rRNA". It matches the Rfam family "Bacterial small subunit ribosomal RNA", at positions 1 to 598 of the family's 1533-position model. Lineage: Bacteria; Pseudomonadati; Pseudomonadota; Gammaproteobacteria; Enterobacterales; Enterobacteriaceae. The record is from RNAcentral.